AUUUUUAAAACAAAUCCAUAGUAUGGAUGAUAUUGAUGAUGAAAUGUCUUACGAUGAUCAUUUAGAGGUUUAUUUUGAACAACUGGCAAUUCCACGAAUGAUGGAAUAAAACAUAUGAAGUAGAAGGACUGGAACCUCCAGAAAAAGUACUUUAAGUUACCUACAGGUGAUCCUAGUCAGGCAAAUGAAAACAGUAGCCUAAAGUGUCAGUUUCAACCAGAAAAUAACAGCUCUGAUUUCUCAUGGCUCACACUCUUCUGAAACGACUCGGGUAGAGGCUGAGGAAGGCCGUGUUGUUUGUCUACCUGGGACUAGAAACAAUCAUAACAAGAAUAAGAAGCAAGCCGGGUGCGGUGGCUCAUGCCUGUAAUUCCAGCACUUUGGGAGGCCGAGCUGGGAGGAUCACUUGAGCCCAGGAGUUUGAGACCAACCUGGGUAACAUAAUGAGACCUUACAAAAAAAAAUAAAAUUAAAUUUCAAAAACAUAAUUAGAUACCAGUGUAUCCCCAGCAGAUUGACACAAAUUAAAAGUCAACAGUAUCCUGUGUUGGUGAAGACAUACAGCAACUGGAAGUCUCCUGUGCAUGUUAGCCAUGUUUAUACCUUUCAUCUCAGCAGUUUCACUCUUAACGAUAUAUGCUAGAGAAACUCUUACUCAUGUGCUCCACAGACAGGUAGGAGGGCCCAAGGUAACCUUGUUUGUAAUUAAGAAAAAAUAAAAACAGGAAACAAGCCAAGUGUCCAAUGGGAUAAUGGAUUAGUAAAUUGUGAUACACAAUGAAACUGCAUAUGUGCGCACAUCAACAUGAACGAACCCUCCAAACAUAAUGUUGAGGAAAAAACAAGCAAAUCAC
RNAcentral lists this long non-coding RNA (854 nucleotides) under Homo sapiens (human). RNAcentral's name for it is "non-protein coding lnc-FAM153C-1:9". Lineage: Eukaryota; Metazoa; Chordata; Mammalia; Primates; Hominidae. The record is from RNAcentral.